CACGUAGGGUGCGAGCGUUGUCCGGAAUUAUUGGGCGUAAAGAGCUCGUAGGCGGUGUGUCGCGUCGGCCGUGAAAACCUGCAGCUUAACUGUGGGCUUGCGGUCGAUACGGGCAUCACUGGAGUUCGGCAGGGGAGACUGGAAUUCCUGGUGUAGCGGUGGAAUGCGCAGAUAUCAGGAGGAACACCGGUGGCGAAGGCGGGUCUCUGGGCAGUAACUGACGCUGAGGAGCGAAAGCGUGGGGAGCGAACAGG
RNAcentral lists this ribosomal RNA (254 nucleotides) under uncultured bacterium. RNAcentral describes it as "partial 16S ribosomal RNA". It matches the Rfam family "Bacterial small subunit ribosomal RNA", at positions 524 to 776 of the family's 1533-position model. The record is from RNAcentral.